ACCUGGGUGGCUCAGUCGGUUAAGCGUCUGACUUCAGCUCAGGUCAUGAUCUCAAGGUUCGUGGGUGCAAACCCCACAUCGGGCU
Molecule: transfer RNA, 85 nt
Filed under: Felis catus (domestic cat)
Lineage: Eukaryota; Metazoa; Chordata; Mammalia; Carnivora; Felidae
Rfam family: tRNA
About the family: Transfer RNA (tRNA) molecules are approximately 80 nucleotides in length. Their secondary structure includes four short double-helical elements and three loops (D, anti-codon, and T loops).
Source: Rfam by way of RNAcentral